Molecule: long non-coding RNA, 1742 nt
Organism: Anolis carolinensis (green anole)
Lineage: Eukaryota; Metazoa; Chordata; Lepidosauria; Squamata; Anolidae
Exons: 4
Source: RefSeq, a predicted model, not a curated record
GUUGUCUUCUUUGUGAGGUCAAAGACCAGGUGGAUGAAAAUAAAGAUUGGUGUUUAUCUCUGGGAGGAUCAGAGCCGAUUCAGUCUCAUUAAAGCUGCUGCAGGCUCACCUGUGUGGCUUUGCUGGUGCCUUAGGGGAAAGCUCAGCAGGGGCUCACUUCUUCAUGAUAGAGAAGAAAGCCGUGGAUGAGCCAGCAUAUUUAAUUGGUAUAAAGGGAAAUCCCUUUUCUUUUAUAUGGGUGGCUAAGGGAGCUGACUGGAAGGAGAACCUCCCCCCCUUAGAAUGAGUUACCUUAAAUACUAUUCUCCAUACCUUUCCAGAUUUAUGCUUUUCCAAGUCAACUAGCAGAGACAUAUAUCACAUUAUCUUUGGAGUGACAGAACCAGUUGGAUGAAAAUCCAGCUACUAGUCCCAAUUGCAGCAGAUCCCUUGAAUCAGUGAGUUCACACUUAUGUGUGAAACAAAGUUUGUGUACAUUGAACCAUCAAAGGUGUCACUAUCUCAGCUAUCCAUGUGGACAAUUUUGGAGUAUUCAGGAUUCUGGAAAAAAAGAUGCUCAACCUGUAGUGUACAGGUUUGCAGGUGGGGAAACAAGUCUCAGAGUAAAUGGCAUUAGAAGAGGAGGAAGAAAUUUUAUAUGAAGAAAUUGGAAAGCUUGGAUGCCUAUUACCACCCAUCCUCAACUGGCACCUGGGCUACCUGGCUUGUACUUCUGAAAAAUCAUCACAUUCAAAACCCUGGAAGAGACUAUAGAGAGAGAUAUGGGGUGCAUAUUCUUGGGACUCAGGGUCUAGAAAAUUGUGUUUGUGUGUACACAUAUACAUGUUUUAAAUUGAAAAGCUGAGGUACUUAAUGCAUAAUGCUCAAUGAUAUUGUCUGGGAAAGUUGCAGGAUUUGACCUGGAAACCGUAGGAACUGAGAUGAUUCUGAACUGACACAUCUCUGAUUCUUCUGAUUCCAGAGAAAUCUCUCUACCACCAGGCUCCACCAUAAGAAGGAGAAUCACCAUGCAAAUAGAAAAUAAAUAAGAGAGGAAUGUGAGUCUCUGUAUGAGUCCAAGUGGAAUUAAGAUUGUAACACAGUAUGACCCCUGUAUCCAUGGGGGAUACAUUCCCUGUCUUCACACAGAUAUGCAAAAUCGCAGAUGAUGACAAACCCCAUUGAAAUGAAGGAGUUCUGGCCCAAGAAUAUCAUAGUCAAAUUGAAGGACCUAGAAAAUGGCUAGAGAGGACAUAUGUUGUUGAACAUGGAUAAAGGAAACUGUAGUAACCAGAAUGUGGGCUGUCCUGUAUAUAAAGAAAGAAGGAGAAAGGGAUCAAUGGAAGAUAAAAGGGAGCCCCACACAAUUCUUAAUUAUUACAGAUUGAGACUCCACACUCUCACCACAUUUUUUAUUUAACUUCAUAUCAAAAUACAGGACUUUGCAAAGUUUGUGAUUCCUCGGAAAUUCCAAAUCUGUCCUCAGAGUGAGAAAAUAUGUUUCCAAACUAGUAACACAAUUGUGCACAAACCAGCAUUGUUACCAUCUUAUUUACUAUCACAAUUGGCAGUUUUUAUUAUUGUACAUUUAUUAUUAGAUUCAUUUUUUCUUCUUAGAAAAAUAUGGAAUUUUCUCAUGAUUUUCUUAGUAUUCCUUCAUAUUAUCUACACAUUUUACUACAACCCGAAUAAACCAUUUUAGCAUGCCUAAGUUUUUACCUUGUCCUUCAGAAACGGAUAAAUUUAUGAAUCCAUUGAGCCCU